This 399-nucleotide ribosomal RNA is filed under the name uncultured bacterium. RNAcentral's name for it is "bacterial SSU rRNA". It matches the Rfam family "Bacterial small subunit ribosomal RNA", at positions 29 to 426 of the family's 1533-position model. The record is from RNAcentral.
AUUGAACGCUGGCGGCGUGCUUAACACAUGCAAGUCGAUCGGUAACAGGUGUAGCAAUACAUGCUGACGAGAGGCGGACGGGUGAGUAAUGCUUGGGGAAUCUGCCUAUUAGUGGGGGACAACCCGGGGAAACUCGGGCUAAUACCGCAUACGCUCUACGGAGGAAAGCCGGGGACCGCAAGGCCUGGCGCUAAUAGAUGAGCCCAAGUCGGAUUAGCUAGUUGGUAGGUAACGGCCUACCAAGGCGACAAUCCGUAGCUGGUCUGAGAGGACGACCAGCCACACCGGAACUGAGACAUGGUCCGGACUCCUACGGGAGGCAGCAGUGGGGAAUAUUGGACAAGUGGGGGCAACCCUGAUCCAGCGACGCCGCGUGGGUGAAGAAGGCCUGCGGGUUGU